AGUGAACGCUGGCGGUAGGCCUAACACAUGCAAGUCGAACGGCAGCACAGUAAGAGCUUGCUCUUACGGGUGGCGAGUGGCGGACGGGUGAGGAAUACAUCGGAAUCUACUUUUUCGUGGGGGAUAACGUAGGGAAACUUACGCUAAUACCGCAUAUGACCUACGGGUGAAAGCAGGGGAUCUUCGGACCUUGCGCGAUUGAAUGAGCCGAUGUCGGAUUAGCUAGUUGGCGGGGUAAAGGCCCACCAAGGCGACGAUCCGUAGCUGGUCUGAGAGGAUGGUCAGCCAGACUGGAACUGAGACACGGUCCAGACUCCUACGGGAGGCAGCAGUGGGGAAUAUUGGACAAUGGGCGCAAGCCUGAGCCAGCCAUACCGCGUGGGUGAAGAAGGCCUUCGGGUUGUAAAGCCCUUUUGUUGGGAAAGAAAAGCAGCAGGUUAAUAACCCACUGUUCUGACGGUACCCAAAGAAUAAGCACCGGCUAACUUCGUG
This 492-nucleotide ribosomal RNA is filed under the name uncultured bacterium. RNAcentral describes it as "partial 16S ribosomal RNA". It matches the Rfam family "Bacterial small subunit ribosomal RNA", at positions 29 to 507 of the family's 1533-position model. The record is from RNAcentral.